UGAAGUGCUGUGGAUUUCUUUGUGAAUCACCAUAUCAAAUCUAAUUUGGUGGUUUACAAAGUAAUUCAUAGUGCUUCA
MicroRNA precursor from Mesocricetus auratus (golden hamster), 78 nucleotides. Ensembl annotates it as microRNA 876. Its record names the gene Mir876. NCBI's taxonomy places the organism in Eukaryota, Metazoa, Chordata, Mammalia, Rodentia, Cricetidae. The record is from Ensembl.